RNAcentral lists this ribosomal RNA (491 nucleotides) under uncultured bacterium. RNAcentral describes it as "partial 16S ribosomal RNA". It matches the Rfam family "Bacterial small subunit ribosomal RNA", at positions 29 to 507 of the family's 1533-position model. The record is from RNAcentral.
AGUGAACGCUGGCGGUAGGCCUAACACAUGCAAGUCGAACGGCAGCACAGUAAGAGCUUGCUCUUACGGGUGGCGAGUGGCGGACGGGUGAGGAAUACAUCGGAAUCUACUUUUUCGUGGGGGAUAACGUAGGGAAACUUACGCUAAUACCGCAUACGACCUACGGGUGAAAGCAGGGGAUCUUCGGACCUUGCGCGAUUGAAUGAGCCGAUGUCGGAUUAGCUAGUUGGCGGGGUAAAGGCCCACCAAGGCGACGAUCCGUAGCUGGUCUGAGAGGAUGAGCAGCCCCACGGGAGCGGAGACACGGUCCAGGCUCCUACGGGAGGCAGCAGUGGGGAAGAUGGGACAAGGGGGGCAAGCCUGAUCCAGCCAUGCCGGGUGGGUGAAGAAGGCCUUGGGGUGGUAAACCCCUUUUGUGGGGAAAAAAAAGCAGCAGGUUAAAACCCCGUUGUUUGACCGGAACCCAAAAAAAAACCCCCGCCAAAUUCGUG